This 332-nucleotide ribosomal RNA is filed under the name uncultured bacterium. RNAcentral's name for it is "bacterial SSU rRNA". It matches the Rfam family "Bacterial small subunit ribosomal RNA", at positions 568 to 898 of the family's 1533-position model. The record is from RNAcentral.
CACGCAGGCGGUUUGGUAAGUCAGGGGUGAAAGCCUACAGCUUAACUGUGGAAUUGCCUUUGAUACUGCCUUUCUUGAGUGCAUGAGGGGGAAGCGGAAUUCCGAGUGUAGAGGUGAAAUUCGUAGAUAUUCGGAGGAACACCGGUGGCGAAGGCGGCUUCCUGGCAUGUAACUGACGCUCAGGUGCGAAAGCGUGGGGAGCAAACAGGAUUAGAUACCCUGGUAGUCCACGCCCUAAACGAUGGGCACUAGGUGUGGGAGGUAUCGACCCCUUCCGUGCCGCAGCUAACGCAUUAAGUGCCCCGCCUGGGGAGUACGGCCGCAAGGUUGAA